ACGAACGCUGGCGGCGUGCCUAAUACAUGCAAGUCGAGCGGAGUGAUGAAGAAGCUUGCUUCUUCUGAUUUUAGCGGCGGACGGGUGAGUAACACGUGGGCAACCUACCUUGUAGAUUGGGAUAACUCCGGGAAACCGGGGCUAAUACCGAAUAAUCCAUUUUGCUUCAUGGCGAGAUGUUAAAAGGCGGCUUCGGCUGUCACUACGAGAUGGGCCCGCGGCGCAUUAGCUAGUUGGUAGGGUAAUGGCCUACCAAGGCGACGAUGCGUAGCCGACCUGAGAGGGUGAUCGGCCACGCUGGGACUGAGACACGGCCCAGACUCCUACGGGAGGCAGCAGUAGGGAAUCUUCCACAAUGGACGAAAGUCUGAUGGAGCAACGCCGCGUGAGUGAAGAAGGUUUUCGGAUCGUAAAACUCUGUUGUAAGGGAAGAACACGUACGAGAGUAACUGCUCGUACCUUGACGGUACCUUAUUAGAAAGCCACGGCUAACUACGUG
RNAcentral lists this ribosomal RNA (499 nucleotides) under uncultured bacterium. Its description in RNAcentral is "bacterial SSU rRNA". It matches the Rfam family "Bacterial small subunit ribosomal RNA", at positions 29 to 507 of the family's 1533-position model. The record is from RNAcentral.